CUGGCGGCGUGCCUAACACAUGCAAGUCGAACGAGAAAGUGUAGCAAUACAUGAGUAAAGUGGCGACCGGGUGAGUAACACGUGACUAACCUACCCUACAGUGGGGGAUAACCUCGGGAAACCGGGGCUAAUACCGCAUAACAUUACGAGGCGCAAAUCCUUGUAAUCAAAGGAGCAAUUCGCUGAAGGAGGGGAUCGCGGCUGAUUAGCUAGUUGGUAAGGUAAUGGCUUACCAAGGCAAUGAUCAGUAGCCGGCCUGAGAGGGCGCACGGCCACACUGGAACUGAAACACGGUCCAGACUCCUACGGGAGGCAGCAGUGGGGAAUUUUGCGCAAUGGGGGAAACCCUGACGCAGCAACGCCGCGUGGAGGAUGAAGUCCCUUGGGAUGUAAACUCCUUUCGAUCGGGACGAUUAUGACGGUACCGGAAGAAGAAGCACCGGCUAACUCUGUGCCAGCAGCCGCGGUAAUACAGAGGGUGCAAGCGUUGUUCGGAAUUAUUGGGCGUAAAGGGCGCGUACGCGGUGCGGUAAGUGUGUUGUGAAAUCUUCGGGCUC
Molecule: ribosomal RNA, 557 nt
Filed under: uncultured bacterium
Lineage: Bacteria
Description: bacterial SSU rRNA
Rfam family: Bacterial small subunit ribosomal RNA
Source: RNAcentral